CUGGGACCGAGCUGCCCCGGAAGGGACCGAGGGGUCUCCAGCUCCGCCGCGCUCAUGGGACGCACUCUGGGGUCCGGUGGGAAGGCAGAGGUCCAUCCCGAUGACGCCAUCGGCCCUGUCCUGGAUCGCCCUCGCUCCUCCCUCCCGCCCAACCAACCUAUACCUACCUGAGUACCACCUGGAUGGGCGUUUCUGGCCCCUCUGGCCCCUGCUCCAGGCUCCGCACGGGGUCCCUGUGGCCGCAACAUGGAAAAAUGGAAGAAGAGAGAGGGGGCAGGGGAAGCAGUGUAAGGGGAAAGCGGCUGUGAAUGGCGGGAACGAGUAGGACCCUGAACUAUGCACCGGCUGGCGCUGGUUGCCUUUACGGCAGGUUGCCUUUUCCUGCUGUAAACGCGGUAAGUGAACAAGUUGUUCCUUUAAAUGUCCCUAAGGGACGCCUGGGUGGCUCAGUUGGUUAAGCGUCCCAACUUCAGCUCGGGUCAUGAUCUCGUGGUUCAUGAGUUCAAGCCCCGUGUUGGGCUCUGCCCUCAUGGUGCAGAGCCUGCUUGGGAUUCUCCCUCACUCCUUCACUCCCUCUGCCCCUUCCCCGCUUGCGCACAUGCGCGCUCUCUCUCUCUCUCUCUCAAAAUAAAUAAACAAACUUUAAAAAAAAUGUCCCUAAAAGGGUUAAGGACCACUAGUCAUUCCACAUUUUCGUGUGCUUUGGGCUUAAUCAAAUUGCUAUCCCUUUUCAAGCUCGACUGAGAUGAGCCACACUGCAGGGAUUUUGAGAGAAAUGCCAAGACAAGGGAUAUGCACAGGACAGGGUAUGAUCGGCUGUUUGGCGUGACUUUUGCACAGGGGUUCCCAACCUGGGUCAGAAUGUGUACAUCACUCAGUGUCCAUAAGCAAGAGUGAAGUUCUAGUUCUGUUCUCUAACAGUGAGUAAGGACAGUGGCUAGCCUUAAAUUGUGAGUUCG
This is a long non-coding RNA of Neofelis nebulosa (Clouded leopard), 959 nucleotides long. RefSeq lists it as uncharacterized. The record is from RefSeq and is a predicted model, not a curated record. NCBI's taxonomy places the organism in Eukaryota, Metazoa, Chordata, Mammalia, Carnivora, Felidae. The transcript has 3 exons.